AACACACACGAACAUAAUGCCAAAAUCCCUAAUCUACACGCGAUUGUUCUUCUUCUUCUCCCAAAAAUACCCGAAUCUCUUCCCAUUUCAGACCAAAUCCAAGCGAGUGAGCACCAAAUCCCUCACCCCACAUGUUCCCCUUUCUCUCCUCUUGCCACAGAUAACCGUUUCUCACCAGAGAUUCCCUCUCAUCUCAUUCGCUCGAUUUUGGGAUUAAAGCACGCGAUUGGAGGUCCGAGAUACGAUUCGUUGGAUGAAUGUAAGGCAUUGGAUUGAUUUCUUUCAAUCCGAGCCCCACAUUUAUCAGGGGCUCGUUUCAUAAAAGGACUGAAUCUUAUUCUCGAUGGCGGAGGAGGUUGAAAAAGAAUUCUGAGAGAAAUUUUGGAUAAAAACGUUAGAUCUCUUCCUAUUCUUCCAUUUUCUACAUACUGUUUUUAUCCAGAAAAUAAAAGCAAAAAAAUGAUUCUGUUUUAAAUUUUCACUUGCAGUGUGAGAUUUUAGUGGAUUAAUUGAUGAUGUGGGAUUUUAGGUUGGUUUGAGUGUCAGAACAAAAUUUUUCUGUUUCUUCAUUUCAAUUUUCGAUUCUGGUUUCCAAGGAUAUAAAAAUUGAAGUUCGAGCUUGGUUCUCUACUAUCGUCUUACUUAUUUGCCGCUGAGCCUCGCUAGGAUUUGGAGUCAAGAGGUGUAUUGUGGAGUCUAUAACUAUUAGCAGGAGUUUGUAACUUCAGGUUUGAAUUUCUUUUCCAUCAUGUAACGCUGCUUUUGUUUUUGAAGAAAUGUUCUUGAGAUGUGCAUUCUGUCUCGAAUGAUUCUAUGAUCAAAUUUCCUAUCGAAUGAACCUAUGCUCGGUGCUAUGAUGUAUUUAAGUAUGUCUAGUUAGUAGAAGUUGAUUUUGAGUGGUCAUUUUUCUACGCUUAUAUGGUUUACCUGUUAUCGUAAUGUCGAGUUUUCCUUUGGGUCCAGAUUUCGUCGAUUUCAAAUUGUUGUUAUAGUUCAGUCAGUUUGUCAGUGUGAAAUUGCUUGCCUGUUAGAAUUUGGAAGAUGAAUCAUAGGUUUUCUUGGUUUUGAACAUGACAGUGUGAAUACAAGACGUUGCAUUUGAGCUGGUAAUGUUUCUGUCGAAAUAGGUUCUCACGAGAAGAAUGCUAGGUGGAAAUCUGGAACGCUUUAAAUUCAUCUACUCCUAAUUUAAGCCUAGAUCCUUGUGAAUUCUGUUAUCGUUGUUCUAAUGUUCGAGAGUUUUCCGAUUGAGUCUGAACGACUGUUUCUGUUGAUUCUUUGUCGAAGCCCGUUCGAGGUUGUCACGUCGAGUUUUCUGCUCCAAAACUUUUUCAGAUUCAAGAGCUGUUGCUCUCAAGGUGCACAUCACAAAUCUGCACUUUUCUUUGAUUUGCAAGAAACGUUGGUUAUUUUGUCUAAAUUCAUUUAGCGGAUUGGCUGAAUCUGCUUCCAUCUCGUUUUGAACAUAAGCAGAAUGUUUAGUUUGAUUUAGUCGAUUCCUAAAACAUGGCGUCUAUCUAAUUAGUAAUGACGAGUUUGAUAUGAAAAGGAUUCAGUGAUUGAAAUUGUGAUAGGUCUCAUGUAUUUAGCUUGAAUUCAUGCACGCAUCUUUCUUCAUUUAACACAUAUUGCUUGGCUUUGAUAUUUACCUAUGAAAUAUAAUUUUCUUCAUUUAACACACAUGAUUUACCAAGCUUCUUAUAUGUUUCUUCAAAUGUCACUAUUCUGCUAUACAUUAGUCUGUUUCAUCAGUAAAGCAGUAUUCAUGU
This 1769-nucleotide long non-coding RNA is filed under the name Nicotiana benthamiana. Its description in RNAcentral is "long non-coding RNA (NBEN_LNC003241)". The stretch from base 245 to 315 matches the Rfam family "MIR6151 microRNA precursor family". The record is from RNAcentral. Lineage: Eukaryota; Viridiplantae; Streptophyta; Magnoliopsida; Solanales; Solanaceae.